GAUGAACGCUGGCGGCGUGCCUAAUACAUGCAAGUCGAGCGAACGGACGAGAAGCUUGCUUCUCUGAUGUUAGCGGCGGACGGGUGAGUAACACGUGGAUAACCUACCUAUAAGACUGGGAUAACUUCGGGAAACCGUAGCUAAUACCGGAUAAUAUUUUGAACCGCAUGGUUCAAAAGUGAAAGACGGUCUUGCUGUCACUUAUAGAUGGAUCCGCGCUGCAUUAGCUAGUUGGUAAGGUAACGGCUUACCAAGGCAACGAUGCAUAGCCGACCUGAGAGGGUGAUCGGCCACACUGGAACUGAGACACGGUCCAGACUCCUACGGGAGGCAGCAGUAGGGAAUCCUCCGCAACGGGCGAAAGCCUGACGGAGCAACGCCGCGUGAGUGAUGAAGGUCUUCGGAUCGUAAAACUCUGUUAUUAGGGAAGAACAUAUGUGUAAGUAACUGUGCACAUCUUGACGGUACCUAAUCAGAAAGCCACGGCUAACUACGUG
Molecule: ribosomal RNA, 497 nt
Filed under: uncultured bacterium
Lineage: Bacteria
Description: partial 16S ribosomal RNA
Rfam family: Bacterial small subunit ribosomal RNA
Source: RNAcentral